RNAcentral lists this ribosomal RNA (479 nucleotides) under uncultured bacterium. RNAcentral's name for it is "bacterial SSU rRNA". It matches the Rfam family "Bacterial small subunit ribosomal RNA", at positions 28 to 498 of the family's 1533-position model. The record is from RNAcentral.
GAUGAACGCUAGCGGCAGGCUUAACACAUGCAAGUCGAGGGGCAGCAUAAUGGAUAGCAAUAUCUAUGGUGGCGACCGGCGCACGGGUGCGUAACGCGUAUGCAACCUACCUUUAACAGGGGGAUAACACUGAGAAAUUGGUACUAAUACCCCAUAAUAUCAUAGAAGGCAUCUUUUAUGGUUGAAAAUUCCGAUGGUUAGAGAUGGGCAUGCGUUGUAUUAGCUAGUUGGUGGGAUAACGGCUCACCAAGGCGACGAUACAUAGGGGGACUGAGAGGUUAACCCCCCACACUGGUACUGAGACACGGACCAGACUCCUACGGGAGGCAGCAGUGAGGAAUAUUGGUCAAUGGACGCAAGUCUGAACCAGCCAUGCCGCGUGCAGGAUGACGGCUCUAUGAGUUGUAAACUGCUUUUGUACGAGGGUAAACGCAGAUACGUGUAUCUGUCUGAAAGUAUCGUACGAAUAAGGAUCGGCU